This 73-nucleotide transfer RNA is filed under the name Phycisphaerae bacterium. RNAcentral describes it as "tRNA-Lys". It matches the Rfam family "tRNA". From Rfam's summary of the family: Transfer RNA (tRNA) molecules are approximately 80 nucleotides in length. Their secondary structure includes four short double-helical elements and three loops (D, anti-codon, and T loops). RNAcentral also lists the same sequence under 2 other names. Lineage: Bacteria; Pseudomonadati; Planctomycetota; Phycisphaerae. The record is from RNAcentral.
GCGCCGCUAGCUCAGUUGGUAGAGCAGCUGACUCUUAAUCAGCGGGUCCGGGGUUCGAGUCCCUGGCGGCGCA